GACGAACGCUGGCGGCGUGCUUAACACAUGCAAGUCGAACGGAAAGGCCCUGCUUUUGUGGGGUGCUCGAGUGGCGAACGGGUGAGUAACACGUGAGUAACCUGCCCUUGACUUUGGGAUAACUUCAGGAAACUGGGGCUAAUACCGGAUAGGAGCUCCUGCUGCAUGGUGGGGGUUGGAAAGUUUCGGCGGUUGGGGAUGGACUCGCGGCUUAUCAGCUUGUUGGUGGGGUAGUGGCUUACCAAGGCUUUGACGGGUAGCCGGCCUGAGAGGGUGACCGGCCACAAUGGGCCUGAGGUACGGCCCAGACUCCUACGGGAGGCAGCAGUGGGGAAUAUUGCACAAUGGGCGGAAGCCUGAUGCAGCAACGCCGCGUGCGGGAUGACGGCCUUCGGGUUGUAAACCGCUUUCGCCUGUGACGAAGCGUGAGUGACGGUAAUGGGUAAAGAAGCACCGGCUAACUACGUG
This 468-nucleotide ribosomal RNA is filed under the name uncultured bacterium. Its description in RNAcentral is "partial 16S ribosomal RNA". It matches the Rfam family "Bacterial small subunit ribosomal RNA", at positions 28 to 507 of the family's 1533-position model. The record is from RNAcentral.